RNAcentral lists this ribosomal RNA (254 nucleotides) under uncultured bacterium. RNAcentral describes it as "partial 16S ribosomal RNA". It matches the Rfam family "Bacterial small subunit ribosomal RNA", at positions 524 to 777 of the family's 1533-position model. The record is from RNAcentral.
UACAGAGGUGGCAAGCGUUGUUCGGAAUUACUGGGCGUAAAGGGUGCGUAGGUGGUUCGGCAAGUCUUGUGUGAAAUCUUCAGGCUCAACUUGAAGUCUGCACAAGAAACUGCCGGGCUUGAGUAUGGGAGAGGUGAGUGGAAUUUCCGGUGUAGCGGUGAAAUGCGUAGAUAUCGGAAGGAACACCUGUGGCGAAGGCGACUUCCUGGCCUGUUCUUGACGCUGAGGCGCGAAAGCUAGGGGAGCAAACGGGG